UGGAAAAGAAUUCCAUAGUAAUAGUAAUGCUUAUUCCCCGUACUAACGGAAUAACUUUUCCACUUUUCAGUCAGUGGAAUUAUAAUUCCAUUCCACUGCCCCUUUUUUAUUCAUAAGUCACAUAUAGACAAAAAUGGUUCUCUCUUCCACUCUAGCCGAAGAUCUUCCUCACUCAUUUUUGAGAUUUCAUUUUUGAGAUUAGGUCUCUAAGAUUAGUUUAACCGCAUUUUUGGUUCCGCAGUUCGUCGCCAUCGGUGCUAAGCUUUGCCCAUUGCGAAUCAGAGGAAGCAUUGAAGGAUGGACUUUUGGUACCGUACAACUCUCAACACAAUACUUUCCAAAUUGUUGUUUUGGUACCUAGACUAGAGGAAGCUUUAGGUGCUCUAGUCUGGGUUCUAUUUUUUUUUGGGUCCAAUUGUUGUUUUAUUUAUGACAGUAGCUGUUUAGUUUAAACACUGUAACUGGCAUUUUUUGAGGUAUAAUACUAUACUAGUUGCCAUUCCUCAUUCUAAA
Molecule: long non-coding RNA, 513 nt
Organism: Humulus lupulus (European hop)
Lineage: Eukaryota; Viridiplantae; Streptophyta; Magnoliopsida; Rosales; Cannabaceae
Exons: 2
Source: RefSeq, a predicted model, not a curated record